Molecule: long non-coding RNA, 1485 nt
Filed under: Equus caballus (horse)
Lineage: Eukaryota; Metazoa; Chordata; Mammalia; Perissodactyla; Equidae
Description: lncRNA (ENSECAG00000045780.1)
Source: RNAcentral
CCCCCGCCCUCUGUCCCUGAUGCUUGCUCUCUACCCCUCCUCACUGGUCGCCCCUGGGAAAGAAAAGACCAUAAGCCCCUAUUUCAUAUGGACGAUCCCCACAAAUGUGAGCUUCUUCUUCAAGAAUGGGAGACAGCCUCUAAACAGUACAGCACUUGCUACCUAGACAUAAGACUGACAACAAAGCCUCAAUGAACUUAUGUUUUUCCUUCCAGUCAUUAUUCAGUAAGGAUUUGCCUGCCGCUGGUGAGCUUGUAAGCCAGGCCUGGCGGUCUAGCGGUCAAGAUUCAGCUCUCUCACCGCCGCGGACCGGUUCAUUUCUCUGUCAAGGAACCACACCAGUCGUCUGUCGGUUGUCAUCCUGUGGCAGCUGCCUGUUGCUGUGAUGCUGAAAGCUCUCCCACAGGAAAUUCCAAGGGCUUUGAGAGCUGUGACCCAGGAACUGUGGAUGAAGACCAAAUAUAUCUGAGAAAUAUAUUUCAGCCAUCUGAGUGACCAAAUUUAUAUAUUUCUUAUAAAUCACAUUGCACUAUUUUCUCUAAAUUGAAUACUUCUAAAUAUUCCGUGAUGUCACGUCUCUGUUCGGUUUUGCUGGUGCGUGCCUGCAGGACCUUGGCAAGAGCUGCUCCUGCUGGGUGGGAUGCUGUGCCCAUCUUCCUCCGCCUGGGAAACUGCUACUUAUCCUUCAUCUCUCGGCUUAAACAUGGCUUGCUCAGGGCAGAGCCACCCCAUCUUCCUGGCUGGCUCUCAUAGUGCUGUAUCGCUCUCCUUUUUGACAUUUUCCACAGUUGUAUAUUGCCUUUCACAGGCUCUCUCUCCUUUUUCACAUCUCCUCCUCUGCCCCAAAUAAUCAGCCUUCAGAAGCAGCAGCAGCCCCAGGGUUGGCCUUUCCUGGAGUCACCAGGAAGCCUGGGGUCCACUGGCAGAGGCCACUGCAGGAGGUGUGGGUGGGGCGAGAGACGAGAAAGGGCAGUGAUCCUAAGGGAAAGGAUGCAGGUUGAGGGCAUGGGAACUGAGGCCAGAAAAGGACUUGAUUUUCUGCUUCUAGGAGAAGGGAAGGGAGAAAGACGGAGGUGAUGGGGUCCAGAAUAUGCCACUCUGGCAUAGGGAUUACUUUGUCCUGAAAGCCAUGGAGAAAAAGCAUACACAAGAAAACCUCUGCUCUCCCCUCUCUACCAGGAAGGGCAGGAUGAUUCUUAAUAAUCAGCAGAGAUAACUCUAGACACUUAUCAGCUCAGAGACAGCACCAAAAGAACCCACAUAAUAAACCUUACUGACUAGCCCUUAUCUCCCACAAUUUUCCUCACACAUUUGCCUUCCCAUGGUUUGCCGCCCCUACAAGCUCAAAGUCCCUUCCCUGGGUCUUGUUACUUCUCUACAAAUUUAUCGUUCUUUUGUUAAGAUGCGGUAUGCUACCCCAAGUUCUAACCAGCCCUUUGAGCUACUCAUCACUGAGCUCCCACGUAUAUGUGUGCCAUAUGUGUU